GGGAUCCCGGGAAUCCCCUCGGGAACGGGGCUGGAAUUCUGGGAAUGCCUCGGGAACGGGGCUGGAAUUCUGGGAACGGGGCUGGAAUUCUGGGAAUGGGGCUGGAAUUCUGGGAAUGGGGCUGGAAUUCCGGGAAUGCCCUCGGGAACGGGGCUGGAAUUCCAGGAACGGGGCUGGAAUUCCGGGAAUCCCCUCGGGAAUGGGGCUGGAAUUCCGGGAACGGGGCUGGAAUUCUGGGAAUUCCCUUGCGAAUGGGGUCAGCAUUCUGGGAAUCCCCUCGGGAAUGGGGCUGGAAUUCCAGGGAAACCCUCAGGAAUGGGGUUGGAAUUCCGGGAAUCCCCUCAGGAAUGGGGUUGGAAUUCUGGGGAAACCCUUGGGAAUGGGGUCAGAAUUCCGAGAAUCCCUUGGGAACGCCCCCGGAAUUCCGGGAUUUCCUGGGAACGCCCCCGGAAUUCCGAGAUUUCCCGGGAACAGCCCCGGAAUUGCGGGAUUCCCUCGGGAACGCCCCCGGAAUUCCGGGAUUUCCCGGGAAGAGCCGCCCCUCACCUGAUGGAGCGGCAAGUGAAGAAGACGAUCCGCUUGAGCCGCUUGUUGUAGAAGAAAUAAUUGAAGGACCAGAGGCUCCCGUCCUCUCCAAAGGGAUCCGAGUCCAGGUCGGGAUUGUAGCUGGGAAAACAACGGGAAAAACAACGGGAAAAAUGGGAAAAACAACGGGAAAAACAACGGGAAAAACAACGGGAAAAAUGGGAAAAACAAUGAGAAAAACAAUGGGAAAAACAACAGGAAAAACAGGAAAAACAACGGGAAAAACAACAGGAAAAACAAAUGGGAAAAACAAUGGGAAAAACAACAGGAAAAAUGGGAAAAACAACGGGAAAAACAACGGGAAAAAUGGGAAAAACAAUGGGAAAAACAACGGGAAAAACAAUGGGAAAAAUGGGAAAAACAACAGGAAAAACAAUGGGAAAAACAAACGGGAAAAAUGGGAAAAACAACGAGAAAAACAGGAAAAACAACGGGAAAAACAACGGGAAAAACGGGAAAAACAAUGGGAAAAACAACGGGAAAAACAACGGGAAAAACUGGGAAAAAAAUGGGAAAAACAACGGGAAAAACAAUGGGAAAAACAGGAAAAACAACGGGAAAAACAACGGGAAAAACAGGAAAAACAAAGGGAAAAACAACAGGAAAAACAACGGGAAAAACAAUGGGAAAAAUGGGAAAAACAACGGGAAAAACAACGGGAAAAACAACGGGAGAAAUGGGAAAAACAACGGGAAAAACAAUGGGAAAAACAACAGGAAAAACAGGAAAAGCAACGGGAAAAACAACGGGAAAAACAACGGGAAAAACAAUGGGAAAAACAAACGGGAAAAAUGGGAAAAACAACGAGAAAAACAGGAAAAACAACGGGAAAAUCAACGGGAAAAACAAUGGGAAAAACGGGAAAAACAACGGGAAAAACAACGGGAAAAACAACGGGAAAAACAAUGGGAAAAACGGGAAAAACAACGGGAAAAACAAUGGGAAAAACAAAUGGGAAAAACAAUGGGAAAAACAACCAGGAAAAAUGGGAAAAACAAUGGGAAAAAUGGGAAAAACAACGGGAAAAACAACGGGAAAAACAAAUGGGAAAAACAACAGGAAAAACAACGGGAAAAAUGGGAAAAACAAUGGGAAAAAUGGGAAAAACAAUGGGAAAAAUGGGAAAAGUGAGAAAAAAAAAAAGGGAAAAACAGGAAAAAUGGGAAAGGCUGGAAUCCCCCAGGAAAAGUGUGAAUUCCCAGGAAAAUCAGAAAUUCCCCAGGAAAAUGAGGAAUUCCCGGAAAAAUUGUGAAUCCCCCGGGAAAAUUGGGAAUUCCCGGGAAAAUCUGGAAUCCCCUGGGAAAA
Molecule: long non-coding RNA, 1890 nt
Organism: Cyanistes caeruleus (blue tit)
Lineage: Eukaryota; Metazoa; Chordata; Aves; Passeriformes; Paridae
Source: Ensembl